UGCCCGGUAGCUAAAUGCGGAAGAGAUAAGUGCUGAAAGCAUCUAAGCACGAAACUUGCCCCGAGAUGAGUUCUCCCUGACCCUUUAAGGAUCCUGAAGGAACGUUGAAGACGACGACGUUGAUAGGCCGGGUGUGUAAGCGCAGCGAUGCGUUGAGCUAACCGGUACUAAUGAACCGUGAGGCUUAACCUUACAACGCCGAAGGUGUUU
RNAcentral lists this ribosomal RNA (210 nucleotides) under Escherichia coli. Its description in RNAcentral is "partial 23S ribosomal RNA". It matches the Rfam family "Bacterial large subunit ribosomal RNA", at positions 2739 to 2925 of the family's 2925-position model. Lineage: Bacteria; Pseudomonadati; Pseudomonadota; Gammaproteobacteria; Enterobacterales; Enterobacteriaceae. The record is from RNAcentral.